This 1826-nucleotide long non-coding RNA is filed under the name Macaca fascicularis (crab-eating macaque). RNAcentral describes it as "lncRNA (ENSMFAG00000056318.1)". The record is from RNAcentral. Lineage: Eukaryota; Metazoa; Chordata; Mammalia; Primates; Cercopithecidae.
ACGCGAAUCACGUGUCCUCCAGACGGGGGCCCUUCCCUGUUUGGUAGUUGAGGUGGAGAGAGAGAGGACAGCUUAUGUCAUUAUUCUAUGCAUUUCUUGGAGAGAUCAAAGACUAAUAUUCUCACUAAUUCUGCUACUGCUAUCUAGAAGGCAGAGCAAGGUGUACAGGGCGGAACGUGAAAGUGGACCAGGAAUAUGACUGCUGAAGCACAGCAUCACAGGGAGACUUUUAGGCCUCCAGAUGGCUGCCAGCGGGCUUGACUGUCAGGCAUUCCACAAGAAGUGGUGGAGCAGUCUUUUCUAACUCCCCAGAGGAAGGGGAGACUCCCUUUCCCGGCCUGCUAAGUAAUGGGUAAUGGGUGCCUUCCCAGGCACUGGCGCUACUGCUAGACCAAGGUCUGCUAAGUAAUGGGUGCAUUCCCGGGCACUGGCAUUACCGCUAGACCAAGGAGCCCUCUAGUGGUCCUGUCCGGGUGUGACAGAGAGCUCACACUCUUGUCUUCUGGUCACUUCUCACCAUGUCCCUUCAGCUCCUAUCUCUGUAUGGCCUGGUUUUUCCUAGGUUAUAAUUGUAGAACAGAGAUUAUUAUAAUAUUGGAAUAAAGAGUAAUGCUACAAGGUAAUGAUUGAUAAUAUUCAUAUAUAAUCAUGUCUAUAUUCUGUGUCUAAUAUAACCUCUUAUUUUAAGCAUUUUCUUUAUGAUACUGGAACAGCUUGUGCCUUCAGUCUCUUGCCUCGGCACCUGGGUGGCUUGCCGCCCACACACCUGUAAUCCCAGCAGUUAGGGAGGCUGAGGUGGGCAGCUUACCUGAGGUCAGGAGUGUGAGACCAGCCUGGCCAACACGGUGAAACCCUGUAUAUUUUUAAUAAAAAUAUAACAAAUUAGUUGGGUAUGGUGGCACGCAAUUGUAGUCCCAGCUACUCAGGAGCCUGAGGCUCGAGAAUCGCUUGAACCCAGGAAGAGGAGGUUGCGGUGAGCCGAAAUUGUGCCACUGCACUCCAGCCUGGGUGACAGAGCGAGACUCUCAAACAAAACACAAACAAACAAAAAAACAGUACCUCCUCUUUUUUUUCUUUUUUUUCUUUUUUUGGAAACAGAGCCUUGCUCUGUUGCCUGGGCUGGAGUGCUGUGCUGCAAUCUUGGCUCACUGUAACCUUCACCUCCCGGGUUCAAGUGAUUCUGCUGCCUCAACCUCCCGAGUAGCUAAGAGUCCAGGCGUGCACCACCAUGCCCGGCUAAUUUUUUUGUAUUUUUAGUAGAGACAGGGUUUUGCCAUGUUGGUAAAGCUGGUCUCGAACUCCCAACCUCAGGUGAUCCAACCGCCUCAGCUUCCCAAAGUAUUGGGAUUACAGGCGUGAGCCACCAUGCCCGGCCAGUAUCUCAUUCUUAAUAACUCGUAUACAUUGUGACUUCAAUAGGGUAGGCAUUGUAUUGAGCACUUUACAUGCAAUAGCUUGUUUAAUCCUCACAUCAGCUCUACUAUCGUUCAGGAAACUCCCUGCCAGUUGAAGUGACUUGCUUGAGGUCAGGAGGCUACCAAGUGCAUAGUCUAAUCAGCCGCCACCUGAGCCCAGAACCACAUAGUAAAUGCGCUACAAUUCUUUGCUAUUAUGAUUAUUUUACAUUUUAUAUUCCCUGUAGUUAAUAAUUGCCUUGUUUUUAAUGUACUUUGUUUUGUUUGUGUAAGUAUCAUUAAUUCAGUUCCAAUAUAUCAGAAGUAUAAAUCUUUUGGGUAUUCAAACACAUCACCUACUUUCAAUUUUAUCCUUUCCUCCAUCCUCUCUUAACCUGGAUUAGUUACCCCGAAAUAAAUGUAAUGUAAUAC